UACGAAGGGGGCUAGCGUUGCUCGGAAUUACUGGGCGUAAAGGGAGCGUAGGCGGACUGUUAAGUUAGAGGUGAAAGCCCAGGGCUCAACCUUGGAAUUGCCUUUGAUACUGGCAGUCUUGAGUACGGAAGAGGUAUGUGGAACUCCGAGUGUAGAGGUGAAAUUCGUAGAUAUUCGGAAGAACACCAGUGGCGAAGGCGACAUACUGGUCCGUUACUGACGCUGAGGCUCGAAAGUGCGGGGAUCAAACAGG
Molecule: ribosomal RNA, 253 nt
Filed under: uncultured bacterium
Lineage: Bacteria
Description: partial 16S ribosomal RNA
Rfam family: Bacterial small subunit ribosomal RNA
Source: RNAcentral